This is a long non-coding RNA of Xenopus tropicalis (tropical clawed frog), 980 nucleotides long. RefSeq lists it as uncharacterized. The record is from RefSeq and is a predicted model, not a curated record. The transcript is spliced from 3 exons. Lineage: Eukaryota; Metazoa; Chordata; Amphibia; Anura; Pipidae.
UGCACCUAAGGGAGGAGCCCGGGGGGCAACUGGUGUGUGAGGCCCAGAGGUUUUACCCCCCGGAGCUGAACAUUUCCUGGAACUUCUCAGCAGGGGCAAAUCCAGCCCAAGAGACCCGGAAUGAGACCCUGAAGGAGAACCCGGAUGGAACCUACACCAAGACUUCCAUUGUGACUAUUACUGAGGGGCUGUGGGGCACCGAGGUGAUCUGCCAAGUGCAUCACAUGACUCUCCCCAGGCCCCUCCCACUGCGCCUGUAUCUCCCCAGCCCCAGGGUGCAGCUGUACCAUUGGUUGUUCCCAGUUCGGGUGAUUCUGGCUGCCGCUCUGAUCAUCGGCUUCUGUGUCGCUCACUUUGCCUGUAGAUAGAGGUCUCUGUCCCUCUGUGUUUCCUGCCCCGUCUGAUGCCCCCGGGGUCCCUCUGCUUAGCAAGAUACCUGCACUUACCCCUGCACCCCAACAGCUCCUCACAGGGUGGGCAUCUCUGUACCCAGUACUUACCCCCUGCACCCUGACAGCUCCUCACAGGGUGGGCAUCUCUGUACCCAGUACUUACCCCCUGCACCCUGACAGCUCCUCACAGGGUGGGCAUCUCUGUACCCAGUACUUACCCCCUGCACCCUGACAGCUCCUCACAGGGUGGGCAUCUCUGUGCCCAGUACUUACCCCCUGCACCCUGACAGCUCCUCACAGGGUGGGCAUCUCUGUGCCCAGUACUUACCCCCUGCACCCUGACAGCUCCUCACAGGGUGGGCAUCUCUGUACCCAGUACUUACCCCCUGCACCCUGACAGCUCCUCACAGGGUGGGCAUCUCUGUACCCAGUACUUACCCCCUGCACCCUGACAGCUCCUCACAGGGUGGGCAUCUCUGUACCCAGUACUUACCCCCUGCACCCUGACAGCUCCUCACAGGGUGGGCAUCUCUGUACCCAGUACUUACCCCCUGCACCCUGACAGCUCCUCACAGGGUGGGCAUCUCU